Non-coding RNA from Python bivittatus (Burmese python), 1903 nucleotides. The record is from RefSeq and is a predicted model, not a curated record. NCBI's taxonomy places the organism in Eukaryota, Metazoa, Chordata, Lepidosauria, Squamata, Pythonidae.
GAUCAGAUGAACUUUCCCCAAUUGCCUCUCCAGGGAAACUAAGCAAGGAAAACGGUUCCUGUAGAAAAGUGUGCAAGAUACUCAGGUGCCCAUGCAGAAACCAGGAGCAGUAAGAUAGACUUAGCAGUCUCAAAGGUCUCCUGGGACAUGUGCCGCGUGCUUGCCCACCAGCGAAAGCAACCAGGAUAAGCAACCAACCAGCCAACAAAAGCCCAUCAAGCAGAAGUUCAGCAUCGCAUCUGAGCCACGGUGCCUUGCUCCCGCUCUCAAACGUACGUGCCAUGAGCUGUCUUUCUCCGAUUCCUUCGUGCGGGGAUGGACAAGCUCUUGACUGCCAGAAGCCACACUUAACGUGGGGGUAUUAGGGAGAAGGUUGCAUUUUCUGGUAUUGUUGGCUGCCCCCCUCCCCGGUCUUGGAUUCAUGUAUGCUUAACCACGUGAAACAGAUUCUGGAGCACACGCCACAGCUUUUCUGUUUCUUACUUAAAGUAUGGGGCAGGGGGGUAGAGAGAACCAUGCACUGAUUUUUGGGUACUGAGGUCUUAUUUUAAGUUGAGUUGUAGAAUGGAAUCUUGUCCCUUCGCUGAUUUUUCCCAGGCAGGACACGUAUGUUAAAAAUGCAACUCUUUAUUAGAUCCUAGCUGAACACCGUAUCUUUGAUAGAUACUUCAAAUGCUGAGCGAAUUAAGCCCAAGUCUGGCAUCUUAAAGUGUCCCCCUGAAAUACUUUAAUGCAAGAACAUUAAGCACAUGCCUCUAAAAGCCAUAAAAAGUAACUGGAAACGUUGAAGCAGGGAUAACUCAGCCAAAAUUGACUUUACGGGGAGCUAACCUAUGCGUAAGACUCUCAGACACAAAUUAAGGAGAAACAGCAGUGCUCAAAAAAUUGGAAGGGAUUAUGCCUUUGAGUCUCCUUUCCACUUCAUAGAGGAAAAUAUGAAAUCAUGCAAACUUUUUACAAAACACUGAUUUCUUAAGCUUGUGCUUUCAGUAGUAUGUUUAGACGUAUCACAAAAACAGAGCACUGCCCCGUUCGGUACUGUCUCAAGCACCACACCCGAGUAGGAGGACUUAACUUUUAAAAGUAGUGUUACUACCUUGUAAAGGUUAGCAAGUAGGAACCCCAAGAAAAGGCUCCUAUGAAGGCAGAAUGACAUUUCGAGGGGGAAAAAAGACACUUCGUUCCACUGCAAAGUGAAACAAACCAUUUAUUUGUGCUAAAUGAAUUGAAAGAAUGUAUUCCAGAAUACAUUUCUUUAUACAUUGUACCGGCUUAUGCUGCUAAAUACGCAUUUGCUAUUGUCACCUAACUUUCUCUUGAUCCUUUUCUACCAAGCAAUACAACAGUUUUGGCUGUUUAUCAUAUGCUGCUAUGAAUAUGCACCUCCCAUCUGAUUUUUCUUCCCAAAGCCUAACGUCAUGGUUUAAACUUUCAGAGAGGAGGGGCCACACCAUUAAAAUAUUUUAAACAAGGGGGAAACCAGGCUUUUUUGCUUUUCAUACAAACUGCUUUCCUACAGCAGAAAGUCAGAGAACAGGCUGUAGACGGCCCCAAGCAUCGUAAUGAAGCAGCGGGAUGGGAAGGGAGGAAGGAGGGAGGGAAGGUCGGACCAGGGAAUCAUACGUCCUACAGGCUCUGACGCUCCAGACAGUACCAACACACUGGACAAAAGGGGCCAAUUGCUCAUGUAUGCUUUACUUGGGGUCUGGAAAUUAAGGGACACAAUUAGAGAAGUGAGGUUGGGCUUUUGCUUUCUCACUAAAAGCUGUCCUGAAAUGUGGAGCUGAUUUGCUGAAUAUGCUGGAAACACUCUGUCAUAUCUGGGAGCUUGUAAUAUACAGCCCAUGCCUUAGUUUUAUAAUGCAAGACGUUGUGAAGAACUACAGAGAACUACCCCUUUUUA